Molecule: ribosomal RNA, 448 nt
Filed under: uncultured bacterium
Lineage: Bacteria
Description: bacterial SSU rRNA
Rfam family: Bacterial small subunit ribosomal RNA
Source: RNAcentral
UCCAGACUCCUACGGGAGGCAGCAGUGGGGAAUAUUGCACAAUGGGGGAAACCCUGAUGCAGCGACGCCGCGUGAGUGGGGAAGUAUUUCGGUAUGUAAAGCUCUAUCAGCAGGGAAGAAAAUGACGGUACCUGACUAAGAAGCCCCGGCUAACUACGUGCCAGCAGCCGCGGUAAUACGUAGGGGGCAAGCGUUAUCCGGAUUUACUGGGUGUAAAGGGAGCGUAGGCGGCCUGCCAAGUCUGAUGUGAAAUACCGGGGCUCAACCCCGGGGCUGCAUUGGAAACUGGCAGGCUGGAGUGCCGGAGAGGCAGGCGGAAUUCCUAGUGUAGCGGUGAAAUGCGUAGAUAUUAGGAGGAACACCAGUGGCGAAGGCGGCCUGCUGGACGGUGACUGACGCUGAGGCUCGAAAGCGUGGGGAGCAAACAGGAUUAGAUACCCUGGUAUAC